UCCUACGGGAGGCAGCAGUGGGGAAUAUUGCACAAUGGGCGAAAGCCUGAUGCAGCGAUGCCGCGUGAGGGAUGAAGGCUUUCAGGGUUGUAAACCUCUUUCAGCGGGGAAGAAGCGCAAGUGACGGUACCUGCAGAAGAAGCGCCGGCUAACUACGUGCCAGCAGCCGCGGUAAUACGUAGGGCGCAGGCGUUGUCCGGAAUUAUUGGGCGUAAAGAGCUCGUAGGCGGUUUGUCGCGUCUGGUGUGAGAACUCGAGGCUCAACCUCGAGCUUGCAUCGGGUACGGGCAGACUAGAGUGCGGUAGGGGAGACUGGAAUUCCUGGUGUAGCGGUGGAAUGCGCAGA
Molecule: ribosomal RNA, 346 nt
Filed under: uncultured Cellulosimicrobium sp.
Lineage: Bacteria; Bacillati; Actinomycetota; Actinomycetes; Micrococcales; Promicromonosporaceae
Description: bacterial SSU rRNA
Rfam family: Bacterial small subunit ribosomal RNA
Source: RNAcentral